GACGAACGCUGGCGGCGUGCUUAACACAUGCAAGUCGAACGAAGUGGCGAACGGGUGAGUAAUACGUGAGUAACCUGCCCUCCUUUUUGGGAUAAGCCUUGGAAACGGGGUCUAAUAACGAAUAAAGGGGGAUGGGCUCGCGGCCGUUCCGCUUGUUGGGGGGGUGAUGGCCUACAAAGGCGGUGACUGGUAGCCGGCCUGAGAGGGUGACCUGCCACGUUGGACAGGAGAUACGGCCCAGAGUCAUACGGGAGGCGGCAGUGGGGGAGAUUGCGCACUGGGCGAACGCCUGAAGCCGCGGCGCCGCGUGGGGGAUGACGGCUUUCGGGUUGUAAACCUCUUUCGCGAUCGAAUCGGUAUGUGGAGAAGAAGCGCCGGCUAACUACGUGCCAGCAGCCGCGGUAAUUC
RNAcentral lists this ribosomal RNA (408 nucleotides) under uncultured bacterium. RNAcentral's name for it is "partial 16S ribosomal RNA". It matches the Rfam family "Bacterial small subunit ribosomal RNA", at positions 28 to 526 of the family's 1533-position model. The record is from RNAcentral.